GGGCGAAUAGCUCAGAUGGUGAGAGCGCCUGCCUUACAAGCAGGAGGUCAGAGGUUCGAAUCCUCUUUCGCCCA
Molecule: transfer RNA, 74 nt
Filed under: bacterium
Lineage: Bacteria
Also listed under: 2 other names
Description: tRNA-Val
Rfam family: tRNA
About the family: Transfer RNA (tRNA) molecules are approximately 80 nucleotides in length.
Source: RNAcentral